UCCUCUCCUCUACCUCCUGCUCACUCAUCUCCUCUCCCCUACCUCAGUUGGGUAUUGCCGGCGGCGAGCAGGAGCAGCCAUUGGUACGUGAGGAGUUCUCCCUCCCCUCCCCUGUCCUCCCCUUCAUUCCAUUCAUAUUCCUAGCAUCUUUCCCUAGAUGAAGAACAUUCUCUUCCUUUUUUUGGAUUUUGGUGCUUGGAUCUGUUCUCUCCCUCAAAUCAAGGUAUAGAUCCGAAAUCCCUCUUUGUUACAGCAUAUGGAUUGAUGAUGGAUAUAGAUUGCUAGAAAUACUUGUAGAUCUAGCUGUCAUGUGUUACUGUUUUUGCAAAAAUCGGUAGGUAAGACAUAGUUUAUACCUAUGCGUGCCUCUUUUUCUUGCCUGUAUAUGCCUGUAUAUGCCGUACAUGUCCGGAGCACCUAUUUUUCUUGCCAAAAAUCAGAUUGCUCACUAUACCAGAUUAGCUUGCAUUUCUUUUGUUUUGUUUUUGAAACUUUCACACAUGUUCGUGCUUCCCGUUGGUCAUGUAGAUGGAGAAGAGGAAGAUUAAAAGGAGAAAAUUAGCUCUGAUGCUCAUUGUUAGCUGCACCACAUAUGUGACUUCUUGUAUGGUGGUUCUAUUUAUGAUGUCUAGAGUACAAAGUAAAAGUAAAAGAAAGCGUAUUACCUACGGACCAAUAGAGGAGAGGGAUAAAUCUAGGAUCGACUAUCUCAAUAUAAAAAUUUAUAAGGAUGAUACAGCCUCCACUAAAAUGAUAAGGUUUAAGAGAAAACUUUUCUUUCGAUUGUGUCAACUUUUGAGGGAACGAACUUUGCUCCAUGACACUGUACAUGUAUGCAUCGAGGAGUAGGUUGCUAUGUUCUUGAAUACAGUUGGACACAACCUAAAGAAUAGGGUAGUUGGUUCACUAGAUCUGGUGAAACAGUUAGUCGAUAUUUUGGAUUAGUUCUUCAUACAAUAGCCCAGCUAAGCAGUGAGCUUAUUCAACCACCCUCACUGGAGACCCCAGCUAAAAUUGCAGGAAAUCCAAGAUGGAAUCCAUACUUUAAGGAUUCCUCGAACAACACCUAGCUAACAAGCACAGGACCAUAGAUUCAUGGUUGAGAAGAGGCGAUUGAUUGCUGAAACAAUGUGGGCAGAUCGCCAAAACUAUUAUGCUCAUCAAGUGUAACAAGGAACCAUGUUCUCAAAUAAUGUAUCAGCUUUUUGUGUUUUGUUAUCUGAAAUUAAUAUGCCUUUAUGUAAUAUGAACAAUUGUGAUGUUGGAAUAUAUUUUUGUUGUUUUGUAAUGAAUAAAUUUUUGUUGGGUGAACUAUGUUCAUUUCUUUUGCUACUUGAUUAUGAAUGUAUGUCUUGCUUUGUUAUGUUGUAGAUGGAUAUGGAACAAUAGGGGGACAACAUGGUUGCAAAUGGUGGAGGUGUUGUCCAGUGGCCAAGUGCCGUGUCAAGUUUCAUGCUUACCUACUUAUCUCAGCUUGUAGCCAGUGGCACUAAAACUUAUACAGGCUUUAAGCAAGUUCAUCUUAAUGCAUGUGCAAAGGCUUUGAAUGAGACUAUGAGUACGCAUUACACUGGUACUCAUGUUGGUAACCAUCUCAGAAAAUGGAAAAGGAUUUAUGCAAAGAUUGAGAAGCUAAAAAACUUGAGUGGAGCUCUUUGGGUUCAAGAAACUUGCACAAUAUCCCUUGAGAAAGAGCAUUACAUUGGUCAUGUUUAGGACCACUGUGAUGAUGCCAAAUACUUGAACACUCCAAUUGAGCACUAUCAUAAGAUGGCCACUAUUUUUGGCAAUAGUUUGGCUACUGGUGCCUGGUGCAUAUGCUAAGGGAGCAUAUGAUCCUCUUGCCACAGUGGUGACUGAAACAGAGAAUGCACCAAAAGACACUGAAGAUGGUGCGGCAACAACUGAACAAGUAGAAGCAGAUGAUGCAACUACUGGGGAAUCGUAUGGUACAAAACCACUAGCACCAAAGAAAGCUAAAGUGGCCAAUCUUGAAGACCCAACCAUGGCAAUGGUGGCUAUGUUAGGUACACAUCUGGAUGACUAUUAUGCUCAUUUGUGCGAACAUCCACGUGAAGCAAGGCAGUUUUACAAGCUGCCGACACUGUCAAGUAAAAUGAUAUGGGUGGCAAGGUACAUCAAAAAGUACCUUUCUGAUGGUGGUCUGUAGGUGGUAGUGCAGUCUAAUAUAUAUUUUGCUAACCACAAAAACUAUAAUUAUGGUGGUUAAUGGCAUGUAAGUCUAAGUGCUGGUACUUCUUAUUAGAGUCUGUCAAGCUAGUAUAUAUUUUGCUAACCACAAAUACUAUAAUUGUGGUGGUUAAUGGUAUAUAAGUCUAAGUGCUGGUACUGCUA
Long non-coding RNA from Panicum hallii, 2355 nucleotides. RefSeq lists it as uncharacterized. Lineage: Eukaryota; Viridiplantae; Streptophyta; Magnoliopsida; Poales; Poaceae. The record is from RefSeq and is a predicted model, not a curated record. The transcript is spliced from 4 exons.